GAAGAGUGAGCAGCGGGCAGAGGUGGGACUGGAGGCUGGGACGCGUGGCAGCUCAGGUGAGACAUAACUGGGGUGUGAGGACUGUCAGCAAAGUGAUGGAGAGCUUGGGAUGGACUGAGCGGCAUUGAGGAAGCAGAACUGACAGGUCCCACAACACGACAGAAUGCAGGCGCUCAGCAGAACUGCAGGCCACGCCUUUUACCCACCAAGACCGGAAGAAAGAAACGGCUGGAAGGCGAGGAGGGGGGGGCAGUGGUCUGUGCGUGCGCACGGUUGCGGCAGAAAAGGGGGAUCAGUUCAGACAGACACAUGAGCCUGGAGCUCAGGGAAAGUGAGUCAGUGUCAGGUUCCUGGAUGCAUCGCCCCCAGGGAGCAGCACCGCCGCACAGACAUAACGCGAUCAUUCCGGUGGAGGCUGGGAGAACACUGACUUAAGACUGAGGAAGGAGAGCUGUGAACGGAGGCUGAGAUGAGCGGGUCAGAGGUGAGACAGACGCUAGGAAAGAAAAAUGACGCCGAAAUCAAGACAGGAGGAGAGUCUUCGGAAAGGAGAUGCCAACGCACACCGCGAGGGGCACAGAGAGAAGAGGGACGUUUGGCACCAGGUCCUGGAGCCACGGGAGGGGCAGCUCCGACAGAGACUCAAGGAGCCGCUGAGCAGGUGAUAAAGUCAAGCUGUCCCGGAAGGAUGGCUGAGAAGGAAUGGCCUCCACCAGAGAGGGCAGCCGGGGCCGAGCGGGAAGGGCCUUCCUCUUUUGUACGUACGCAGGAAAGAUCAGAGUAUGUCCACAUACUGAGGAGAAAAAGCCAACGUCGAACAAGAGGCAAAAGCGGAAGACUGAGGCGAGAGGACACAGCAGCGUUUCUCAGGAGGGAAGGGCGGGGCGGAGAAAGUGCUGGCGCAGGUCGGCCUGACUGUCCCCGGAGCAGUCAGGAGGCGGAGCUGGAUACAGACGCAGAAGCUCCUGGGAAGGGCAGAGGACGGCCAGACGAUCUUGGACAGAAGGCAAGGGAGUAGAUUGCACUGAAUCAGAGAAGGACACGCCCUUCCACCUGGUGGAACCACUGAAGCCACUGGCAGCCUCAUGUUUGGAGGCAGCAGACAGCCUGCGUGAGAUUAGAAAGGACAUGUUCGUUAAACUGUCUGAACGUUUAUGAGACCUUAUAACUUCUUAAAUAAAAAAAGGUUUAUGUUCUUAAA
Camelus dromedarius (Arabian camel) is the source of this 1201-nucleotide long non-coding RNA. RefSeq lists it as uncharacterized. Lineage: Eukaryota; Metazoa; Chordata; Mammalia; Artiodactyla; Camelidae. The transcript is spliced from 2 exons. The record is from RefSeq and is a predicted model, not a curated record.